RNAcentral lists this ribosomal RNA (541 nucleotides) under uncultured cyanobacterium. RNAcentral describes it as "bacterial SSU rRNA". It matches the Rfam family "Bacterial small subunit ribosomal RNA", at positions 358 to 918 of the family's 1533-position model. The record is from RNAcentral. Lineage: Bacteria; Bacillati; Cyanobacteriota.
GGGAUUUCCAUGGCGAAACCUGACGGAGCAAUACCGCGUGAGGGAGGAAGCUCUUGGGUUGUAAACCUCUUUUCUCAGGGAAGAACAAAAUGACGGUACCUGGAGGAAUAAGCAUCGGCUAACUCCGUGCCAGCAGCCGCGGUAAUACGGAGGAUGCAAGCGUUAUCCGGAAUGAUUGGGCGUAAAGCGUCCGCAGGUGGCUUUGCAAGUCUGCUGUCAAAGCUCAGGGCUUAACCCUGAAUCGGCGGUGGAAACUGAAAGGCUAGAGUGCGGUAGGGGCAGAGGGAAUUCCCAGUGUAGCGGUGAAAUGCGUAGAGAUUGGGAAGAACACCAGUGGCGAAAGCGCUCUGCUAGACCGCAACUGACACUCAUGGACGAAAGCUAGGGGAGCGAAUGGGAUUAGAUACCCCAGUAGUCCUAGCCGUAAACGAUGGAUACUAGGCGUUGAGAGUAUCGACCCUCUCAGUGUCGUAGCUAACGCGUUAAGUAUCCCGCCUGGGGAGUACGCACGCAAGUGUGAAACUCAAAGGGAUUAGGGGGG